CCUAACACAUGCAAGUCGAACGGUAACAGGAAACAGCUUGCUGUUUCGCUGACGAGUGGCGGACGGGUGAGUAAUGUCUGGGAAGCUGCCUGAUGGAGGGGGAUAACUACUGGAAACGGUAGCUAAUACCGCAUAAUGUCGCAAGACCAAAGAGGGGGACCUUCGGGCCUCUUGCCAUCGGAUGUGCCCAGAUGGGAUUAGCUUGUUGGUGGGGUGACGGCUCACCAAGGCGACGAUCCCUAGCUGGUCUGAGAGGAUGACCAGCCACACUGGAACUGAGACACGGUCCAGACUCCUACGGGAGGCAGCAGUGGGGAAUAUUGCACAAUGGGCGCAAGCCUGAUGCAGCCAUGCCGCGUGUAUGAAGAAGGCCUUCGGGUUGUAAAGACU
This 390-nucleotide ribosomal RNA is filed under the name uncultured bacterium. RNAcentral's name for it is "bacterial SSU rRNA". It matches the Rfam family "Bacterial small subunit ribosomal RNA", at positions 47 to 434 of the family's 1533-position model. The record is from RNAcentral.